This 501-nucleotide ribosomal RNA is filed under the name uncultured bacterium. RNAcentral describes it as "bacterial SSU rRNA". It matches the Rfam family "Bacterial small subunit ribosomal RNA", at positions 23 to 518 of the family's 1533-position model. The record is from RNAcentral.
CUCAGGAUGAACGCUAGCGGCAGGCUUAACACAUGCAAGUCGAGGGGCAUCGGGAGUAGCAAUACUUGCCGGCGACCGGCGCAAGGGUGCGUAACGCGUGAGCAACAUGCCCGUAUCAGGGGGAUAAUCCAUGGAAACGUGGUCUAAUACCCCAUAGUAAUUAUGUAAGGCAUCUUAUAUAAUUUAAAGCUUUGGUGGAUACGGAUUGGCUCGCGUGACAUUAGCUAGAUGGUAAGGUAACGGCUUACCAUGGCUACGAUGUCUAGGGGUUCUGAGAGGAAGGUCCCCCACACUGGAACUGAGACACGGUCCAGACUCCUACGGGAGGCAGCAGUGAGGAAUAUUGGACAAUGGAUGGAAAUCUGAUCCAGCCAUGCCGCGUGCCAGGAAGACGGCCCUAUGGGUUGUAAACUGCUUUUGUAUGGGAGCAAUAAGGGCUACGUGUAGUCCGAUGAGAGUACCAUACGAAUAAGCACCGGCUAACUCCGUGCCAGCAGCCGC